UGGGGAAUAUUGGACAAUGGGCGGAAGCCUGAUCCAGCAACGCCGCGUGAGGGAUGACGGCCUUCGGGUUGUAAACCUCUUUCAGUACCGACGAAGCGAAAGUGACGGUAGGUACAGAAGAAGGACCGGCCAACUACGUGCCAGCAGCCGCGGUAAUACGUAGGGUCCGAGCGUUGUCCGGAAUUAUUGGGCGUAAAGGGCUCGUAGGCGGUUUGUCGCGUCGGGAGUGAAAACAGCGGGCUUAACUCGUUGCUUGCUUUCGAUACGGGCAGACUAGAGGUAUGCAGGGGAGAAUGGAAUUCCUGGUGUAGCGGUGAAAUGCGCAGAUAUCAGGAGGAACACCGGUGGCGAAGGCGGUUCUCUGGGCAUUACCUGACGCUGAGGAGCGAAAGUGUGGGGAGCGAACAGGAUUAGAUACCCUGGUAGUCCACA
This 432-nucleotide ribosomal RNA is filed under the name uncultured bacterium. Its description in RNAcentral is "partial 16S ribosomal RNA". It matches the Rfam family "Bacterial small subunit ribosomal RNA", at positions 355 to 799 of the family's 1533-position model. The record is from RNAcentral.